Long non-coding RNA from Protopterus annectens (West African lungfish), 676 nucleotides. RefSeq lists it as uncharacterized. Lineage: Eukaryota; Metazoa; Chordata; Ceratodontiformes; Protopteridae. The transcript has 2 exons. The record is from RefSeq and is a predicted model, not a curated record.
UCCCUUCAACCAAGGGAAUCUAGCCUGCUCACAGCAACGGGGCUAGAAUCUAUUGCUGUAAAGACGGUCCUUUUCCCCACUAGAAUCUAGCUAUCUCACUGUGAGCGAGUUAGAUUCCCUUGGCUGAAAGAACUAGGUCCCUUCAGCCAAGGGUAUCUAGCCACAACCAGCAAAAUACGAAAAGACAAUGAAUAUUAAUACCACUAUCAGUAUGAAUAUUACUUUACUUUCAACAUUAUUGGAUGGUAGGCGGGACUUUUCUAAUACAAAGCCCAAGAUGGAACUAAGGGGGUGCUUGCUACUGUCUGUGCAACUUCUUUUGACAUAUAAACUAUCCUUGCUAUGUGAUGCAUGCUUCUGUUUAGCUGCAACAGCUUUUGCGUCGGAUAUACAGCAACAUUCCAUUCGUACUGAUGACCGAAAAGGCAUUGUAUAAUCAGUAGGGGGGGGGGGGGUAUUCUGAUUUCCCAGUAUGCAUUUGUACAUUCGCCCGGAAGCAAAUCCGCCAAAUUUGGAGACGUACUUCCUUUUAGGCUGAUAGCUCCUUAGAGUAAACUAUGGGACGUGUUAUCAGGGGACAGAGAAAAGGUGCGGGAUCGGUUUUCAGAGCCCAUGUUAAGCACAGAAAAGGUCCGGCCAAACUUCGAGCUAUUGAUUUUGCAGAAAGACAUGGUUA